CUAAAAGAUAUUAAAGCAAAAUAU
Molecule: microRNA, 24 nt
Filed under: Ananas comosus (pineapple)
Lineage: Eukaryota; Viridiplantae; Streptophyta; Magnoliopsida; Poales; Bromeliaceae
Description: microRNA s1370_c047b
Source: RNAcentral